GCCAGGAUGUUUUUGCUUGAGCUGACUUGUUUCCCUUUUUGACUCUCCUUCCUGAAAAUCAUGAUACCAUCCAGUGCAGAAGAGGACGCUGGCGUGUAGAAGAAGAGAGGGAAUAAGAGCAGAAAAAGUUCCCUUGAACCCUGGAGGUUGCAGUGAGCCAAGAUCACGCCACUGUGCUCCAGCCUGGGCAACAGAGUGAGACUCAAUCUGAAAGAAAAAAAAAAAAAAGACAUCACCAAGGGCUACCUGGAUCUCUCAGAAUGGGUUUGUUGGAUGAAUGAAGGCUGAGAAUCUCUUGCUGGUUCCUCUACAACCUGAGCCUGACCUGAUGACUGGCAGUAGUUGCUGAAUUCUACCCUCAACAGUGGUGCAAGUUUGGGCUUCUGGGCCCAUAAACCUAUAUCCCCUGACCCUCUGACCAUCUCUGACCCUCUUGUGAACCAUCUGUUAUUUCAAAAGGUAUCAUACAUUCCUUCCAAAUAAAACUUCAUUUAGCU
RNAcentral lists this long non-coding RNA (497 nucleotides) under Homo sapiens (human). Its description in RNAcentral is "HSALNT0329703". The record is from RNAcentral. Lineage: Eukaryota; Metazoa; Chordata; Mammalia; Primates; Hominidae.